Molecule: non-coding RNA, 1385 nt
Organism: Solanum lycopersicum (tomato)
Lineage: Eukaryota; Viridiplantae; Streptophyta; Magnoliopsida; Solanales; Solanaceae
Source: RefSeq, a predicted model, not a curated record
ACACACCUCAGUCAUCAUCUUCACUCAGCUCCAUAGCCUCUAUUAGGGGACUUAGUUUACAAAAAUAUUAUUUUCUUUUUACUUUAUAAGAAAAAAUCAUGACUAAAUUAAUAUUUGUGCAAUCCAAUUUCGACUUGGACAAACAAAUACGUGCCUAUAUAUUUGCAUACCUUUGUUGCAUACUUAUCUAGUUUAUGAAGCUAAAGAUGGCUAUGUAAUUGUGCACUUACUUGUCUUCCUUCCUCAUGAAGUAUUUACUGUUUCUUCAUCCAUAUUACCUCAUCUCUCUCACAAAUGUCAAACCAUUUCCCUUCUAAAAUUCAAGCAGUCAUUUACUAUAGAUUCCUCACUCUUUUCUUUUUGUCAGAAGUAUUAUCCAAAAACAAGUUCAUGGAACAUGAGCAGAGAUUGUUGUUCAUGGGAUGGAGUCAUAUGUGAUGACAUGACUGGCCAUGUUAUUGAGCUUGACCUCGGCUGUAGCGGUCUUGUUGGGACCAUUGCUUCCAAUAGCAGUCUAUUCCAACUCUCAUCUCCAAAGGCUUGAUCUUUCUUCGAAUAACUUCUCCAAUUCUCAUAUCCCCCCUGAAUUCAGUAAGUUUUCACGCUUGACACAUCUUGAUCUUUCUGCCUCUUAUUUCUCAGGUCGAUACUUUGUUCUGAAGGCCUAGCGAGUUCCUUUUUUUUCAAAGGCGGCCCCAUUGACCGAACCACGUUAAGUCUUUGUGUCUAUUGGUAUAUUUCUCGUUGUCUUCUUACUCAUGGUCUUUCGAUGUUUGCAUUGCUAGCUUCCGCAUCUACACCUGCUUAUUUCUGGUCCUAACAAAGGGUGCAUUCCUCAAGGAAAUCAAUUUCAGACCUUUGAGAACAAUUCAUAUGAAGGGAAUGAUGGAUUACGUGGAUUUCCCGUUACAAAAAGUUGUGGUGAUCAUCGUAUAUCAGGGACAUAUUAUGUUGUAUCUGAACAGCUAGAUGAUGAAGAAAACAAUUCUGAAUUUAUGAGUGAUUUUUGGAAAGCUGCUUUUAUGGGCUACGGAAAUGGACUAUGUAUUGAAAUAUCAUGGUAUAUUUCAUGAUUUCAACUGGAAAAACCGAUAUGGCUUGCAAGAAUCAUUCUAGAGUUGGAGCAAAAAAUUAUCAUGGGAAGGAGAAAGAAGAGUGAAGGUAAAGGUAUUACAGAAGAAGAAAUAAUUGUUGUUUCCAAUGAUUAUUCAGUUUUUGGACCUUUUUGUAGGCUUUUAAGCAAACAGAUGUACUAUCAUUUGUUCUCUACCAAUUAAAACUUUGUACUUAUGUUGAUAGAAAAAUGGACUAGUUCUGUUUUCAAAGUGAGAACUUAUAUUUGAAACAUUAAUUUUGGACAACCGAAGCAAUAUUGCUUUCAUCAA